UUUUGCAGCUUUUGGUUAUUAUCUUGAAUAUUAUUAUAGAUAGAGAUAAACUGUAAACAGCAAUAAUGUACAGCAAAGUAAGACCUACAAAUAAGUCAACAUGAUCAAAAUGGUCAAUUAACCCCUUAAGGAGUUAUUGCCCUUUAUAGUCAUUUUUAACAAUUUUCAUAAAUUUUGUAAAUUUUGUAAAUUUUUAUUCGUUUAUGAUAUGCACAUAGACCAAGGUGAGUGACAC
Molecule: long non-coding RNA, 235 nt
Filed under: Mytilus galloprovincialis (Mediterranean mussel)
Lineage: Eukaryota; Metazoa; Mollusca; Bivalvia; Mytilida; Mytilidae
Source: RNAcentral